RNAcentral lists this ribosomal RNA (460 nucleotides) under uncultured bacterium. RNAcentral's name for it is "partial 16S ribosomal RNA". It matches the Rfam family "Bacterial small subunit ribosomal RNA", at positions 338 to 795 of the family's 1533-position model. The record is from RNAcentral.
CCUACGGGCGGCAGCAGUGAGGAAUAUUGGUCAAUGGACGAGAGUCUGAACCAGCCAAGUAGCGUGAAGGAUGACUGCCCUAUGGGUUGUAAACUUCUUUUAUAUGGGAAUAAAACGUUCCACGUGUGGGAUUUUGUAUGUACCAUAUGAAUAAGGCUCGGCUAACUCCGUGCCAGCAGCCGCGGUAAUACGGAGGAUCCGAGCGUUAUCCGGAUUUAUUGGGUUUAAAGGGAGCGUAGGUGGAUUGUUAAGUCAGUUGUGAAAGUUUGCGGCUCAACCGUAAAAUUGCAGUUGAUACUGGCAGUCUUGAGGACAGUAGAGGUGGGCGGAAUUCGUGGUGUAGCGGUGAAAUGCUUAGAUAUCACGAAGAACUCCGAUUGCGAAGGCAGUUCACUGGACUGCAACUGACACUGAGGCUCGAAAGUGUGGGUAUCAAACAGGAUUAGAUACCCCAGUAGUC